RNAcentral lists this ribosomal RNA (459 nucleotides) under uncultured bacterium. RNAcentral describes it as "partial 16S ribosomal RNA". It matches the Rfam family "Bacterial small subunit ribosomal RNA", at positions 338 to 795 of the family's 1533-position model. The record is from RNAcentral.
CCUACGGGGGGCUGCAGUGAGGAAUAUUGGUCAAUGGUCGCAGGGCUGAACCAGCCAAGUCGCGUGAGGGAUGACGGUCCUAUGGAUUGUAAACCUCUUUUGUCAGGGAGCAAAGGGCGCCAAGUGUGGCGUUUUGCGAGUACCUGAAGAAAAAGCAUCGGCUAACUCCGUGCCAGCAGCCGCGGUAAUACGGAGGAUGCGAGCGUUAUCCGGAUUUAUUGGGUUUAAAGGGUGCGCAGGCGGAAGAUCAAGUCAGAGGUAAAAUUGAGAGGCUCAACCUCUUCGAGCCGUUGAAACUGGUUUUCUUGAGUGAGUGAGAGGUAUGCGGAAUGCGAGGUGUAGCGGUGAAAUGCAUAGAUAUCUCGCAGAACUCCGAUUGCGAAGGCAGCAUACCGGCGCUCAACUGACGCUGAGGCACGAAAGCGUGGGGAGCGAACAGGAUUAGAUACCCCGGUAGUC